AUUUAAUCUUAUUUAUACCCAUCCCUUGGAACCUGCUGUCUGUGUCCCUGAUUAGAGCAUAAGUGCCAAGAAAAAGCAGAGUCAUGAUCCAGUACAUCCAAAACAGGAGAAGAGCAAGAAAGGUCCAAAAUGGUUGGAAGACAAGGAGUGGCAAGUGAAUGAAGACUUUGCCAGCCACAUGGAACAAGGCAAUGCAACCCUUGCCAACUAGAGAGCUGCAACAUCUCAGAAGGGACUGCUUCAGGCAUUGAGAAGUGCAAAAGAGUGAAAGGGAAGGAAGAGCCAACUCACCUGACAAGGGAGGUAUGCUGGAAGAAAUAAAAUGAAAGAAAAGACAAAAGGGAAGAAGGAAGGGUAUCAUAUUAUAUCUGACAGGAGAAAAUGUUCAAACUGCUUGCUUUUCCUUACAGCAUCUCCUUUUGGGGGUCUCUCCCUCCUCUUAUUUAAAAUACUAAUGAACCUCCCAUUUUA
Non-coding RNA from Monodelphis domestica (gray short-tailed opossum), 471 nucleotides. The record is from RefSeq and is a predicted model, not a curated record. Lineage: Eukaryota; Metazoa; Chordata; Mammalia; Didelphimorphia; Didelphidae.